CUGGUCUGAGGGUUGAGGUUUGGAAAAAUUGUUUAUGUUCAGUGGAACACCAUGGGCCAGCUGUGUCUGCCAGCUGCACCCUCCUGGGUGUCGGGCUGUUCUGUGCUUCUCAGAGGAGGACGGCAGCAAACAAGCUCACCCCUGGGGCACCUCCUGAUACCCCGGAGACAGGGCUUCUCAGACUGCAGGACAGACUCCUGGGAGUCACCUGGUGAUCUUUUUCAAAUGCAGAUUGAUGCCACUACUUGCUUGAGAGAGAGAGAGACAGACAGACAGCGAGAGGGAGAGAGAGAAGACAAUAAAGUUAAAUAUAUAUAUGGUCAUACCUGGAGCCCUAAACAAGACUUUGGAAAAGAUACUCUGCAGUAAACUUGAAUUACAUUUGCAAACAGAAAAAAAUAUUAUUUUGGAGAAAAGGAUCUAAGUGCUUCAUGUAAUGGCUAUAUUCAGAUAUAUUUGUCUUUUCUGAGAAGGUAACUUAUGACCCAGAUGAUAGCUUCUGCUCACCGAUGUAUUAUAACUUUAGGUUGCUCUUAGAACACCACUUGAUUGUAUGGCUAUAAUAAGCUGGUGUUUUAGAAGUAGAGUUUGAUGCCUUGGGCGGUCAUUCCCCUUCUUGGGAGAAUCUUCAUGUGAAAAAUGUUGGUUAUAUAUGUAUAAUGUUGUGUGGUGGAAAAAUAUUACAUAUGAAUUUUUCUUCUCAGUGGUGCCAGAAAUUAGCAAAUGCUAACCUCAUCCUAUACUCUUUCAUAAAAUAUACCUUGUCAAUCUCAAUUAAAAUCAUAUUCCUAAUUUAUAGAAUAUCAAAAUUUGUUGCUAAAACUUGCUGUUGAAUUCAAAACGUGAAUGACAUUUCUGACAUAACAUUGUUUGGUAGUUUAAGGUUGUGAAAUAUCAUAUGGCCCCUGAUGAUGAAACUAGCUCAGUUGUCUCAUAGAACUGAUGUUUAUGGUUCCUUUGAAAUAAACAUAGAAAUUGACACUCCUAGCCUUAAAACUUGAGAAACUUACAGUUGUCUUAUCUGAAUUCCUUUCUCAGAAAGCCAGCAGUCCACCCAGAUAAUAUCAAGAAGUUGAAACCCACCAAAUCACUGCAUCUGGACAAUGAGAUGACAGACUCCUCACCCUCAGGGUCAUAAUCACUUAACUGACCACUUGCUUCCUGUUGACCAACUCCUCUUCCUUACCGCUCCCUAAUUCCUGUUUUCCCACACAAGGUUACAUUUCUUCCCUGCUAUAUAAACCCCUAAUUUCAGUCGGUCAGGGAGAUGGAUUUGAGACUGAUCUCCCAUCUCUUCAGCUGCAGCACCCAAUAAAGCCUUUGUCCUUAGCAACACUUGCUGUCUCAGUGAUUGGCUUUCUGUGCAGCAAGCUGCAGAAUCUAGAGUGAACCACUGGUGU
Pongo abelii (Sumatran orangutan) is the source of this 1400-nucleotide long non-coding RNA. The record is from Ensembl. NCBI's taxonomy places the organism in Eukaryota, Metazoa, Chordata, Mammalia, Primates, Hominidae.